GGGCGUCGUCUCACUUAAAAUUUGAGAAAGUGGAAGGGAGCCAUAGUUUUCUCUAAGAUUUGAACGUCUAAAACUUUGGCUAGUGCUCAUGUGAUAACGAAAGGAUAUAAUGGCAAGCUAUUUCAUAACUUGGUUUUCCAAGGUUUUACGAAACACUGAUCUUUAGGAAUUUAAAUAAGUCUCGCAGGAAACCUUGAUUCGCAGUAUAAAGUGAUACUCCCCCUAUUAAUUGGUUUCGGAGAGAGUUGAAGGUACUUUGUGGGAAGCUUAACAAAAUGUUCUUCGCCAGGAAGGCUCUAUAUUAAGAAUGUUUAGGAGGGUUAAAAAAGGUUUGUGAAACAAGUACUGAAUGCCGAAAUGUAGACAUGGAUAAUUUCAGCUAUAGAGCUUAUGGUAAUUUCCUUAUCUAAAGUUGAUAUAAAACAAAACUUUUUGGUAUAGUGCAGAAAAUCAACAGGGUAUAAAAAUAUUGAUAGCAAGUAAUUAAUUAAGGAUUCAUAGGAAAAAUUGUUUUCAAUCAUCAAUGAAAAUUUAUAAAAAUCUAUACAUGGAUGGCUUAGACUUCUCGUGACUACCUUUCUAAGGAGCCCUACUAUUCUACGAAUUUUAUUUAG
This is a long non-coding RNA of Zophobas morio, 614 nucleotides long. RefSeq lists it as uncharacterized. The transcript has 4 exons. Lineage: Eukaryota; Metazoa; Arthropoda; Insecta; Coleoptera; Tenebrionidae. The record is from RefSeq and is a predicted model, not a curated record.